GAUGAACGCUAGCGGCAGGCCUAACACAUGCAAGUCGAGGGAGAGGUUACCUUCGGGUAACCAAAACCGGCGCACGGGUGCGUAACGCGUAUACAAUCUGCCUUUCACAUAGGGAUAGCCCGCAGAAAUUUGGAUUAAUACCUAAUGGUAUAUAAGAGCGGCAUCGUUUUUAUAUUAAAGCUACGGUGGUGAAAGAUGAGUAUGCGUUCUAUUAGCUAGUUGGAGAGGUAACGGCUCCCCAAGGCGACGAUAGAUAGGGGUUCUGAGAGGGAUGUCCCCCACACUGGUACUGAGAUACGGACCAGACUCCUACGGGAGGCAGCAGUGAGGAAUAUUGGACAAUGGUCGGAAGACUGAUCCAGCCAUGCCGCGUGCAGGAUGAAGGUCCUAUGGAUUGUAAACUGCUUUUGUAAGGGAAGAAUAAGGAGUACGUGUACUUUGAUGACGGUACCUUACGAAUAAGCAUCGGCUAACUCCGUG
This 480-nucleotide ribosomal RNA is filed under the name uncultured bacterium. RNAcentral describes it as "partial 16S ribosomal RNA". It matches the Rfam family "Bacterial small subunit ribosomal RNA", at positions 28 to 507 of the family's 1533-position model. The record is from RNAcentral.